This 262-nucleotide unclassified non-coding RNA is filed under the name fungal sp. Its description in RNAcentral is "partial internal transcribed spacer region". The stretch from base 1 to 45 matches the Rfam family "Eukaryotic small subunit ribosomal RNA", at positions 1787 to 1831 of the family's 1831-position model. Lineage: Eukaryota; Fungi. The record is from RNAcentral.
AGUCGUAACAAGGUCUCCGUUGGUGAACCAGCGGAGGGAUCAUUAUUCUCUUAAAAAUAAUAAUUCUUGCUUUUAAAAUCCUAAUUGCAUUUAUGCUUUUAGGUGUAAAUCUUUGAUUUACGAUAGUCCUUUGGACUUUAAAUAUUUAAACUUGCGAAGUUAAUUUAACGAUAAAAAUUUAAAAAGUUUUAGAAGUAAUUCUAAAAACUUGAAAAAUUAAAAAUAUAAAUAUAACUUUCGACAAUGGAUACCUCGGUUUUCC